This 472-nucleotide ribosomal RNA is filed under the name uncultured bacterium. RNAcentral's name for it is "partial 16S ribosomal RNA". It matches the Rfam family "Bacterial small subunit ribosomal RNA", at positions 28 to 507 of the family's 1533-position model. The record is from RNAcentral.
GACGAACGCUGGCGGCGUGCUUAACACAUGCAAGUCGAACGCUGAAGCUUGGUGCUUGCCCUGGGUGGAUGAGUGGCGAACGGGUGAGUAAUACGUGAGUAACCUGCCCUUGACUCUGGGAUAAGCCUGGGAAACUGGGUCUAAUACUGGAUACGACAUGUCACCGCAUGGUGGUGUGUGGAAAGGGUUUUACUGGUUUUGGAUGGGCUCACGGCCUAUCAGCUUGUUGGUGGGGUAAUGGCUCACCAAGGCGACGACGGGUAGCCGGCCUGAGAGGGUGACCGGCCACACUGGGACUGAGACACGGCCCAGACUCCCACGGGAGGCAGCAGUGGGGAAUAUUGCACAAUGGGCGGAAGCCUGAUGCAGCGACGCCGCGUGAGGGAUGACGGCCUUCGGGUUGUAAACCUCUUUCAGCACGGAAGAAGCGAAAGUGACGGUACGUGCAGAAGAAGCGCCGGCUAACUACGUG